Molecule: transfer RNA, 71 nt
Filed under: Phrynosoma platyrhinos (Desert horned lizard)
Lineage: Eukaryota; Metazoa; Chordata; Lepidosauria; Squamata; Phrynosomatidae
Description: tRNA-OTHER
Source: RNAcentral
GCCAGUGUGCAUAGUGGUUUGAGUAUGGGACUACAACUCUGGAGACCAGGGUUCAAUUCCCUGCUCGGCCA